RNAcentral lists this unclassified non-coding RNA (279 nucleotides) under air metagenome. RNAcentral's name for it is "partial contains small subunit ribosomal RNA, internal transcribed spacer 1, and 5.8S ribosomal RNA". The stretch from base 1 to 46 matches the Rfam family "Eukaryotic small subunit ribosomal RNA", at positions 1786 to 1831 of the family's 1831-position model. The record is from RNAcentral.
AAGUCGUAACAAGGUUUCCGUAGGUGAACCUGCGGAAGGAUCAUUAACGAGUAACUGAACAGGUUGUAGCUGGUCUCUUCUCAGAGGCAUGUGCACGCCUGGCUCAUCCCACUCUUCAACCUCUGUGCACUUAUUGUAGGUCGGCAGAAGAGCGCAAGUCUUUAUUGAUUUCGCUUGAAAGCCUUCCUAUGUUUUACUACAAACGCUUCAGUUUAAGAAUGUAUCUCUGCGUAUAACGCAUUUUAUAUACAACUUUCAGCAACGGAUCUCUUGGCUCUC